Molecule: long non-coding RNA, 583 nt
Organism: Myotis davidii
Lineage: Eukaryota; Metazoa; Chordata; Mammalia; Chiroptera; Vespertilionidae
Exons: 4
Source: RefSeq, a predicted model, not a curated record
GAGGGGCGGGAAGACCCCAGAGACAUCCAGGCCGGUCAGCGAGGGGGUCUUUAAGAGAGACCCGGUUGGACAUUCGGGCCCGCCGGACCCUGUGCCCCUUCCUCGCCCACCUUGUCUCCUCUGCGUUGCAAGACAGAGAAGUGAGGAUAGAGACGUGGAGAGACGGGGAGAAAGAAGCACAGAGAGACACAGAGACAGACGUGGAGAGAGACAAAGCAAGACGCUAAUCGAGAGACACCGGGGUGAGACAAGGACCAGCUCGGUGCCCCUGGAGCCCCAGCCCCGCCUUCAUGCCCAACCGGUGUCCCACCUGGCCCGUCCUCCCAGGUGAGCCUCAGCCGGUGCUGCAGGCAGUUUGACUCGAGGCCUCCCAGUGACGCGUGAGGAACAUCUACGGAGGGAGGAUGGCCCAAGUCCUGCACGCACCAGCCCCCUUUCCAGGGACCCCCGGCCCAGCCUCCCCGCCGGCCUUCCCGGCCAAGGAGACCGACCCUCCCUACUCCGUGGAGACGCCCUAUGGCUACCGCCUGGACCUGGAUUUCCUCAAGUACGUGGACGACAUUGAGAAGGGCCACACGCUGCG